GGCAACUGAAGCUCGGUAUGUAUUUUCACUGCUGUUUCUGUACAUUUUCCUAUCGCCAUUAAUAUUUCCACCGAUUGCCCUGAUUUAUUAAUCAAAAUAUAUAUUUACUGUAUGGCUGUCAGAUAACUUUCUUCUACUGUAUGUAAUCAGGCAAACACAGUCAAGGGGUUACAUCAAUACUAAUGGGCUUUUUGAGCAGAAAACAAAAUACGUGGGACACUUGAUACAUUAAGUUCUGUUACCAGAGCCAGAUAUAUAAAAAGCAAUACAGGUAACAACUGCAUCGUUUAUGCAAAUAUGCAAAAUCCUUUCUUCGCAACAGUGUUUGCAAUUCUAAACUGAGUGUAUUCUGUUAGACAUGAAGGCCCAUAUUGUUAUACUGUCCAUAGCCCUAUGGAGCCCUAACAUGUAAAACUUGCAGUAAACCUGCUCUGACGUCUCUUCCUAUAUAUAAGUAUUAAAAGAUAUAUGUAUUUGUAGAGCAAAGGCGUCGAAAUAUUGCUGAAUUUUCAAGUAUUUUUAGGUAUAUGUUUCUAACACAGGUAUCCUUACCAGUAUUGUUUAAUGUAUUGAUACCUAAUUCAGUGCCAUUUCCUCUUCCAUGCUGAAGUCUUGGUAUUUCAAUAUUGAUCUCACAGAAGUAAAUUCCUUCAUCUCUCACUGUGACAGAGUUAAUCCGUAGCUCUGCUUUACCGUUAGAUACAUAAUAAGUACUCCCAUUGUGAUUCCUUUGUGUAAUGUUGCAUGUAUCAUUUCCUUUCCAUAGAACAGAUGCCAAAAGAGUUUUAUUUUCCACUUCUAUUGAUGAUUUGUUAGAUAUUCUCCAUUCCACUCUGAUCUGCUUCGCUCUAUGGUCGGGAUCCCAGGUACAAUUUAUAACAGCGCUCUCUCCUUCCAGUAACACUAAACGCUUUGGAGACUGAGUUACAUUUAGAGCAUCACAAGAAAAUACU
Pelobates cultripes (western spadefoot toad) is the source of this 953-nucleotide non-coding RNA. The record is from the annotation of a GenBank genome assembly. Lineage: Eukaryota; Metazoa; Chordata; Amphibia; Anura; Pelobatidae.